RNAcentral lists this ribosomal RNA (463 nucleotides) under uncultured bacterium. RNAcentral's name for it is "bacterial SSU rRNA". It matches the Rfam family "Bacterial small subunit ribosomal RNA", at positions 331 to 792 of the family's 1533-position model. The record is from RNAcentral.
CCAGACUCCUACGGGAGGCAGCAGUGAGGAAUAUUGGUCAAUGGGCGCGAGCCUGAACCAGCCAAGUCGCGUGAGGGAAGACGGUCCUAUGGAUUGUAAACCUCUUUUGUCGGGGAGCAAAAGACGCCACGCGUGGCGUUCCGAGAGUACCCGAAGAAAAAGCAUCGGCUAACUCCGUGCCAGCAGCCGCGGUAAUACGGAGGAUGCGAGCGUUAUCCGGAUUUAUUGGGUUUAAAGGGUGCGCAGGCGGAAUGUCAAGUCAGCGGUAAAAUUUCGGGGCUCAACCCCGUCGUGCCGUUGAAACUGGCAUUCUUGAGUGAGCGAGAAGUAUGCGGAAUGCGUGGUGUAGCGGUGAAAUGCAUAGAUAUCACGCAGAACUCCGAUUGCGAAGGCAGCGUACCGGCGCCCAACUGACGCUGAAGCACGAAGGCGUGGGUAUCGAACAGGAUUAGAUACCCCGGUA